UGCAAGUCGAGCGCAUCCUUCGGGAUGAGCGGCGGACGGGUUAGUAACGCGUGGGAACGUGCCCUUCUCUAGGAAUAGCCUCUGGAAACGGAGAGUAAUACCUUAUACGCCCUUUGGGGGAAAGAUUUAUCGGAGAAGGAUCGGCCCGCGUUAGAUUAGAUAGUUGGUGGGGUAAUGGCCUACCAAGUCUACGAUCUAUAGCUGGUUUUAGAGGAUGAUCAGCAACACUGGGACUGAGACACGGCCCAGACUCCUACGGGAGGCAGCAGUAGGGAAUCUUGGACAAUGGGCGAAAGCCUGAUCCAGCCAUGCCGCGUGAGUGAAGAAGGCCUUAGGGUCGUAAAGCUCUUUCGCCUGUGAUGAUAAUGACAGUAGCAGGUAAAGAAACCCCGGCUAACUCCGUGCCAGCAGCCGCGGUAAUACGGAGGGGGUUAGCGUUGUUCGGAAUUACUGGGCGUAAAGCGCGCGUAGGCGGAUUGGAAAGUUGGGGGUGAAUUCCCAGGGCUCAACCCUGGAACUGCCUCCAAAACUCCCAGUCUAGAGUUCGAGAGAGGUGAGUGGAAUUCCAAGUGUAGAGGUGAAAUUCGUAGAUAUUUGGAGGAACACCAGUGGCGAAGGCGGCUCACUGGCUCGAUACUGACGCUGAGGUGCGAAAGUGUGGGGAGCAAACAGGAUUAGAUACCCUGGUAGUCCACACCGUAAACGAUGAGUGCCAGUCGUCGGGUAGUAUACUAUUCGGUGACACACCUAACGGCUUAAGCAUUCCGCCUGGGGAGUACGGUCGCAAGAUUAAAACUCAGAGGAAUUGACGGGGGCCCGCACAAGCGGUGGAGCAUGUGGUUUAAUUCGAAGCUACGCGCAGAACCUUACCAACCCUUGACAUACUCGUCGUCGCUCCAGAG
This 902-nucleotide ribosomal RNA is filed under the name uncultured marine bacterium. RNAcentral's name for it is "bacterial SSU rRNA". It matches the Rfam family "Bacterial small subunit ribosomal RNA", at positions 56 to 1005 of the family's 1533-position model. The record is from RNAcentral.